CCAGGCCUGGGAUUUCCACGUGUCCACAUUUACUGAUCAGGACAGAACACAGAGAACUCACCAUGGACUUUGUGCUUGGCUGGGUUUUCCUUGUUGUUCUUUUAAAAGGUGUCGAGUGCGAGGUGCAGCUGGUGGAGUCUGGGGGAGACCUGGUGAAGCCUGGGGGGUCCCUGAGACUCUCCUGUGCAGCCUCUGGAUUCACCUUCAGCAGCUACAGCAUGAGCUGGGUCCGCCAGGCUCCAGGGAAUGGGCUACAGUGGGUCGCAGCUAUUUGGGAUGAUGGAAGUAAAACAUACUAUGCAGACUCUGUGAAGGGCCGAUUCACCAUCUCCAGAGACAACGGCAAGAACAUGCUGUAUCUGCAGAUGAAUAGCCUGAGAGCCGAGGACACGGCCGUGUAUUACUGUGUGAGGGAUGGAUACUUUGACUACUGGGGCCAGGGGACCCUGGUCACCGUCUCCUCCGCUUCCACCACGGCCCCAUCGGUUUUCCCACUGGCCCCCAGCUGCGGGGCCACCCCCGGACCCACAGUGGCCCUGGCCUGCCUGGUGUCCGGCUACUUCCCUGAGCCUGUCACUGUGUCCUGGAACUCCGGCUCCUUGACCAGCGGUGUGCACACCUUCCCGUCCGUCCUGCAGUCCUCGGGGCUCUACUCUCUCAGCAGCAUGGUGACCGUGCCCUCCAGCAGGUGGCCCAGCGACACCUUCAUCUGCACCGUGGCCCACCCAGCCAGUAACACCAGGGUGGACAAGAGAGUGCCCCCAGGAAAAAUUCCUCCGCCAUGCACAUGUCCCCCACGUGCAGAAUGUGAUAUGCUCGGAGGACCUUCAGUCUUCAUGUUCCCCCCGAAACCCAGGGACACCCUCUCCAUUUCCCGAACCCCCGAGGUCACAUGCAUGGUGGUGGACCUGGAAGACCCUGAGGUCCAGAUCAGCUGGUUCGUGGACAACCAGGAGAUGCACACGGCCAAGACGAAUUCACGAGAGCAGCAGUUCAACAGCACCUUCCGUGUGGUCAGUGUCCUCCCCAUCCAGCACCAGGACUGGCUCAAGGGGAAGGUCUUCAAGUGCAAGGUCAACAACAAAGCUCUCCCAUCCCCCAUUGAGAGGACCAUCUCCAAGGUCAAAGGGGAAGCCCAUCAGCCCAGUGUGUAUGUCCUGCCCCCAUCCCGGGACGAGCUGAGCAAGAACAGGGUCAGUGUGACCUGCCUGGUCAAAGACUUCUACCCACCUGACAUUGAUGUGGAGUGGCAGAGCAACGGCCAACAGUUUCCAGAGGCCAGUGUGCGAACAACCCCGCCCCAGCUGGAUGCGGACGGCACCUACUUCCUCUACAGCAAGCUCUCGGUGGACAAGGCGCGCUGGCAGCGGAAAGAAACCUUCACGUGUGCGGUGCUGCAUGAAGCCCUACACAACCACCACACGCAGAAGACCAUCUCCCAGUCUCCGGGUAAAUGAGCCGCACGCCCGGCCCCCCCGCGAGCCCCCACCCACAGGCUCUUGGGGUCCCCCGAGGACGCCGGAGCCCCCACCCCUGUGUACGUACCUCCCGGGCAGGCGCCCCUGCGUGAAAUAAAGCACCCAGCACUGCCCUGGGACCCAGCGA
Neogale vison (American mink) is the source of this 1605-nucleotide non-coding RNA. The record is from the annotation of a RefSeq genome assembly. NCBI's taxonomy places the organism in Eukaryota, Metazoa, Chordata, Mammalia, Carnivora, Mustelidae.